CUGGGGAAUAUUUUAAGAAUAAAGAUAGCAAUACACACAUUUUCUAUCAAUAAAUGAAUGAAGUUUAUGCCCUUGAAGUCCUAGUCAUGGCAGGGGUCAAGGCGGGAGAAGUCCACUAGAAGCUAAAUGAUUAGAGUAAAAAAAAUAUUUAUAAAAUGAUUCAUAGGCACAUGCAUGCUCAGUUUUACUGACUGACCAACUGUAUUUUUUUCCUUCAACAAGUUUGAACACACACAAAUUUUUUGGUGUGGCCUAAGCUUUUAAUUUGGUAUGUAUAUUGUCAAUGAAAGGGUAGAUUAUAACUGUACCAAGGGUAUAAUAUUUGCUAAACAAUCCAAUGGACAAUGAAAGUAAUAAAUAUUGGAAAUAACUCACAGUCUAUUUAACCUGAUGAGCUUAAAUAUGCAUUUAAAAAAAAAAACAUAACUAAAUUUCUAUCACAGCCUACAAAAAAUCUAUUGCAC
RNAcentral lists this long non-coding RNA (464 nucleotides) under Mytilus galloprovincialis (Mediterranean mussel). Lineage: Eukaryota; Metazoa; Mollusca; Bivalvia; Mytilida; Mytilidae. The record is from RNAcentral.